GGUUUGACGAAAAUUGACCUCAUUGACCCCACUCGACUUCCAGGCCCGAGCCUUCUCGCUGAGGAAAGGGAUCAAAGGAGGAAGGAGCACUCCUCUUUUUCUCCUUAGGGUUUUUUAUUUGCUUUCUUUGCUUGCUACUGGACUGGUGUCUCUCAUCUUCUUCAACGACCUGUCGUAUCUGUUAUCACUCACCUUCCCACUAGAAUGAGUCGGCAUCCGGAGGUUCUCUGGGCUCAGCGAUCCGAUAAGGUAUACCUGACGAUUGCCUUACCAGACGCCAAGGAUAUUUCAGUGAAAUGCGAGACUGGAGGGGUAUUCAGUUUCUCUGCAGUUGGGGUUCAAGGCGAAUCCUUUGAUUUCACUUUGCAACUCUAUGGAGCCAUUAUUCCUGAGGGCUGUAAAACUAAUGUUGGGUUAAGGAACAUAAUAUGUUCAAUCCAGAAACAAGAGAAGGGUUGGUGGAAAAGACUACUCAAGUCGGAAGAAAAACCUGCACCUUACCUUAAGGUGGAUUGGAACAAAUGGUGUGAUGAGGAUGAUGAAGAGACUAAUUCUGAUUUGGCCUCUGAUGAUGAUAAUAUUGCGGUAAAUAGUUUAUUCUUUUGAUUAUUUGGCAUAUAUAUAGAUUUUACUUGUGCUUGUGUCUCCUUAAUGACGUCUUUCCUUUCACAGUAUGGUGAAGAUGAUGAAGGCAGUGACGAUGAAGGAAUGCUUUGUGAGUUGCAACUUGAUCACUUUUACAAAACUGUAAUGAGCAAUUACAAAAUUAGCAGCAUAUGGGCACUCAUUGCAUAUACACAUUGUAAAUCAUAGUCUAUUAUGUGUUCCAUGUACCUUUUUUGUUGUUAUAGUACUGAAUUUUCAAUGAUUGAAGCGGGGUUAUUUGUGCUGUAUUUGUCUCUACCCUUUUCAGUCCACAUGGAAAAUUGGCUGAUGUGAACCUUUGUUUCUGCUGUUUCAUUUAUGAGAACAUGUCAAAGCGCUAUGUAAAUGAAAAAUAGAAUAUCAUGCCCUGUUAAUGUCUCUUCGCACUUCAUUAGCAUGUUUAACUCUAUGGAACUUGAACUGCAGAUCUUCCUGAUUUGGAGAAAGCCAGGGGAAAUUAAUGAAGAUCAAGCACCUACAAGUAACACGGAAGGGCAGUUCCAAUGAUUGAAGAAAUGUGUUGAUGAAAGGGGCAUGAGGGAAAUUUUAAUACAUGUUAUGCAAAACUACUGCUGUAAUAGAAGUUUGUAUAUAUUAAAUCUAACGUUGCUUUUAACAGGAUUGAUUCCUUGAGUCGGGUGAUUUUGUUGAAACUAAUUUGGGCGUGGUGUGGUUCAACUUAUAUCAUGCGAUUCUCUAGUCCUGUCUCUGUAGGAGCUGGGAAAUUAUUUCAAAUGGCGACACCGAGGGACUUACACUAUUGAUUGAAAACUGAGAAGUUUCGUUUGCUCUAGUUUUGGAGAAUUGUUUAUAUCUUGGCGUUCAUGUGUGAUACUUGAUUAUAAAGAUAAUUGCUCGAAGAUAUUUG
RNAcentral lists this unclassified non-coding RNA (1513 nucleotides) under Hevea brasiliensis (rubber tree). The record is from RNAcentral. Lineage: Eukaryota; Viridiplantae; Streptophyta; Magnoliopsida; Malpighiales; Euphorbiaceae.